AUGCCUUACACAUGCAAGUCGGACGGCAGCGCGUUGGGGGUAACCCUGAUGGCGGCGAGUGGCGAACGGGUGAGUAAAGUAUCGGAACGUACCCUGAAGUGGGGGAUAACUCGUUGAAAGAUGAGCUAAUACCGCAUAUACCUGAGGGAGAAAGUGGGGGAUCUGAAAGGACCUCACGCUGGAGGAGCGGCCGAUAUCUGAUUAGCUAGCUGGUGGGGUAAAGGCUUACCAGGGCGAUGAUCAGUAGCUGGUCUGAGAGGACGACCAGCCACACUGGAACUGAGACACGGUCCAG
This 295-nucleotide ribosomal RNA is filed under the name uncultured bacterium. RNAcentral describes it as "partial 16S ribosomal RNA". It matches the Rfam family "Bacterial small subunit ribosomal RNA", at positions 45 to 334 of the family's 1533-position model. The record is from RNAcentral.